Molecule: ribosomal RNA, 252 nt
Filed under: Lophodermium implicatum
Lineage: Eukaryota; Fungi; Ascomycota; Leotiomycetes; Rhytismatales; Rhytismataceae
Description: partial 18S ribosomal RNA
Source: RNAcentral
UAACAAGGUUUCCGUAGGUUAAGUUCAGCCUGCCAGAGCAGCCUCAUAAAUGCUAGUUGGCCUCGUCAUUAGCCAGCGACACGCCCACUGUGCGGAAAAGCCCUGCCAGGGAAACCCGCAGCCCACCCCCCCUACCCGGGGGUGGGUUCAGAGACUCAAUAGGCGUGGGUCUGGCUUCGCGCCAGGCUUGAGAUAGAGCCCGUCCCCGCCGGCCACGGUGGGGAGCACACGGAACCUGCGGAAGGAUCAUUA